UUAGACCAGGGUCUAUAGGGUAGUAGUGCACUACUUUAGACCAGGGUCUAUAGGGUAGUAGUGCACUACUUUAGACCAGGGUCUAUAGGGUAGUAGUGCACUACUUUAGACCAGGGUCUAUAGGGUAGUAGUGCACUACUUUAGACCAGGGUCUAUAGGGUAGUAGUGCACUACUUUAGACCAGGGUCUAUAGGGUAGUAGUGCACUACUUUAGACCAGGAUCUAUAGGGUAGUAGUGCACUACUUUAGACCAGGGUCUAUAGGGUAGUAGUGCACUACUUUAGACCAGGGUCUAUAGGGUAGUAGUGCACUAUAUACUAGGUAAUGGAUUCUCAGUCAAUUGUCCUUUAAACAACGACCGGUUAAUCAGAAACCAAAGAUGACAGGAGAGCUUUAUUAUGGCUAGUAACGGCCAGGGUAGAUGUGUUGGGUAUUGUAUUGCUAUUGAACUAAACGAUUAGCAUACUAGUGAUGUAUACAAUAUUAGUUACUUUCAAACGUGUAGAGGACAUUUAAAGUAGUGCAAUAGAUACACUACCAGUCAAAAGGUGUUCUAAAACCAGUACUGUAUAGGAUGGCUAUUCAUUUUUAUGUUAAAGGAUAAAAUUAGCAGGUAUGCUAGUCUAGCUCUGGUUACAUUGUUUGUUUUUUUAUAGCUUAGCUUGCUAUAUCACGAUUCUUUGUAGUAUGAUCUAUUGAGCAUAUCAACUCACUGUGCUACGUCUAGGGUGGCAAAAGUACGUAAACGUUCUUAAAAUUCCCCGAAUUUCCCAAAAUCCUUGUUGGAAGGAUCUCGGAAAUCAGGAGCGGAUAAGCAGGAUUUCUGGAAAAUCUGGGAAUUUGGGGAAAGUUUGCAACCCUAGAUACAUCCUCAAUAUGACAUGUAUGUAAAGGCCUUACUGUAUAUAAGGGAGAGAAGGAGAGACGAGCGAGAGAAGGAGAGAAGGGAGAUAAGGAGGGUAUGAGAUAAGGUGGGUAAGAGAUAAGGAGGGUAAGAGAUGAGGAGGGAAAGAGAUAAGGAGGGUAAGUGAUAAGGAGGGUAAGUGAUAAGGAGGGUAAGUGAUAAGGAGGGUAAGUGAUAAGGAGGGUAAGUGAUAAGGAGGGAAGAUUGAAGAAAAAUAAAGGGUUGAGUACAAGGGGCUAUUCCAGGAAGCAGGAAGCAGGAUCAUUGAGUUAGCCUGAACUGUCCUAAAUAUUCAAGAAAUGACAUUGCAUUUGUUUUGAAUAUAUAUAUGUAGAGAGAGAGAGAGAGAGAGAGAGUUGAAAUUAGCAUGUUGUAAUUGACUUGACAACCACCAACACAUAUUGAAGUUUAGCUUUCAAAAUGAAACAGAAAACCCCCCAAUAUUUACCUGAAAAUUAAGCGAGAUAUCUGACUGUUUGUCAAAGUUAGCUCACUAAUUUAAUCCUGCUUUCUGGAAAGGCUCCUCACUGUGAAUCUAGGUCAUUGUGAGGAUAGAGAAUAUGUUUGUGUCCAAAACUGCACCCUAUUCCCUAUUUAGUGCACCUACUGUAUUUAGGGCCCAUAGGGGAUCUGGUCAAAAGUAGUGCACUGUGUAGGGAAUAGGGGUGCCUUUUAGGACGUGGCCUAUUUGACCACCGACAGUUGUGUGUAUGAUAGUUGUAGAAUACUACACAGGUUUAUACAUUUGAUUGAUGUCUAUUGAGACUGUAUGACAUGAAUGUCUUAUCCUAUGAAUGUCUACUAUCUGAACAGUAUGUCUGUAAUGUCUCUUUGUGCACACGUCUAGGAAUGUCUCAAUGACCACACUAUGAAUGUACGUGUACCUCUCCAGUUAGGCAAAGGGGUCUGUUCCGUCCAUUCAUGAAAUGAGGAAUUCUUAUAGAAAAUAAAUUCAAGCGUUGAACAAUUCAAGGUUUGAAUUUGAAAUUGAAACGGACAAAAUUCAACCCCUUGAGUUGAGAAUGAAACUACGCCCAACCCUGCACUGAAUCUGUCUUUGUUCUGUCCCUCUCACUGUCUGACUGUCAUCUGUAGCUAGUACAAUCUAAAAUAAUGUCUCUCAAGUAUGUUUUUCCUAUGAAUGUAUUCAGGCUAUCUAUGUAUGAGUAUACUAGCAGUGUUAUUGUCAAUGAAUGUAAAUCUUUGAAUGUUCUCUGACUGCCUGUCAAUGAAUCUAAGUGUUUGAAUGUUCUCUGACUGCCUGUCAUUGAAUGUAAAUCUUUGAAUGUUCUCUGAUUGUGUCUGAAUAUAUUUCAGGUUCCGUAGGACUACUUUGAGCCCUGCGCGGGCAUGCAUUUUAAACCAGAGCUCUACCAAUGCCAGGCAACAUUCAGGCCCUACCCUGCCCAGGCCCAAUUGCUUCUGCCAAAUUUAAGGCCCAUUCAUGCACGAAGCCCAAAAUCUGAAAUCACUUCCUCUGUUAGUAAAUCCAUUAGCUGCUCUGUCUGUCACUCGCUCCCUGCACACAGCUCGCUCUGCAUGCGCUCUGAGUCUGUGAGUAACCAUAGCGACGGCUCCUCUUGGGCUGCUCAAUGACGAGAUAUGAGAGGGCUGUUAGCUGUUAGCUAAUUUUCACUCAAGGAACAUUAUUAUUUUCUGUCAAAUAAUCUCUCCUGUUUUAUAUUUGACAAUGUUGAAGCACUUCUAACACCAUGUUAUGAUCUUAGUCAGAUAUGACUGUACUGCGCAGCAGAGCACGCGCAAAUGGCUCACCUUCAACAUUUUAAUGAUCAUUUAAUGAUACCCGAGCCGUACCAGUACCCUAGUUAUUGAUGAAAAAAAAAAAAAGGCCUUACCCGGCCCUAACCCGAUGUAUAAUGCUGGGGCCCGUCGGGCUUGGGACCAACAGCAGAGCUCUAGGACUACUUAUCUUCUCAGUCCACCAAUAGCAGAGCUCUAGGACUACUUAUCUUCUCAGUCCACCAAUAGCAGAGCUCUAGGACUACUUAUCUUCUCAGUCCACCAAUAGCAGAGCUCUAGGACUACUUAUCUUCUCAGUCCACCAAUAGCAGAGCUCUAGGACUACUUAUCUUCUGAGUCCACCAACAGCAGAGCUCUAGGACUACUUAUCUUCUCAGUCCACCAAUAGCAGAGCUCUAGGACUACUUAUCUUCUCAGUCCACCAACAGCAGAGCUCUAGGACUACUUAUCUUCUCAGUCCACCAAUAGCAGAGCUCUAGGACUACUUAUCUUCUCAGUCCAGAGCUCUUCAUAUCAGCGUCCCCUAUUCCCUUGCAAGUGCACUACUUUUGACUAGAGCCAUCAAAAGUAGUGCACUAAGGGAUAGGAUGACAUUUGGGACGCAGUUCAACCUGUUGACCAGCCUGUUGGUCAGCCUGUUGACCAGCCUGUUGACCAGCCUGUUGGUCAGCCUGUUGACCAGCCUGUUGACCAGCCUGUUGGUCAGCCUGUUGACCAGCCUGUUGACCAGCCUGUUGAUCAGCCUGUUGACCAGCCUGUUGAUCAGCCUGUUGACCAGCCUGUUGGUCAGCCUGUUGACCAGCCUGUUGACCAGCCUGUUGACCAGCCUGUUGACCAGCCUGUUGACCAGCCUGUUGACCAGCCUGUUGGCCAGCCUGUUGGUCAGCCUGUUGGUCAGCCUGUUGACCAGCCUGUUGACCAGCCUGUUGAUCAGCCUGUUGACCAGCCUGUUGACCAGCCUGUUGGUCAGCCUGUUGACCAGCCUGUUGGCCAGCCUGUUGACCAGCCUGUUGGUCAGCCUGUUGACCAGCCUGUUGACCAGCCUGUUGACCAGCCUGUUGACCAGCCUGUUGAUCAGCCUGUUGACCAGCCUGUUGACCAGCCUGUUGACCAGCCUGUUGACCAGCCUGUUGAUCAGCCUGUU
This 3809-nucleotide long non-coding RNA is filed under the name Salmo salar (Atlantic salmon). Its description in RNAcentral is "lncRNA (ENSSSAG00000119191.1)". The record is from RNAcentral. Lineage: Eukaryota; Metazoa; Chordata; Actinopteri; Salmoniformes; Salmonidae.